This 65-nucleotide transfer RNA is filed under the name Dicerca corrugata. RNAcentral's name for it is "tRNA-Asn". The record is from RNAcentral. Lineage: Eukaryota; Metazoa; Arthropoda; Insecta; Coleoptera; Buprestidae.
UUAAUUGAAACCAAAAUAGAGGUAUAUCACUGUUAAUGAUACCAAUGAGUUAAUCUCCAAUUAAA